GACGAAGGUGGCGACCGUUGUUCGGAAUCACUGGGCAUAAAGAGCACGUAGGCGGCAAGGUAUGUCGGGUGUGAAAUCCCUCGGCCCAACCGAGGAAUUGCGCCCGAAACUACCUUGCUUGAGGAUGGAAGGGGAGCGUGGAAUUCCUGGUGGAGCGGUGAAAUGCGUUGAUAUCAGGAGGAACACCGGCGGCGAAGGCGACGCUCUGGUCCAUUUCUGACGCUGAGGUGCGAAAGCCAGGGGAGCAAACGGG
This 253-nucleotide ribosomal RNA is filed under the name uncultured prokaryote. Its description in RNAcentral is "partial 16S ribosomal RNA". It matches the Rfam family "Bacterial small subunit ribosomal RNA", at positions 524 to 776 of the family's 1533-position model. The record is from RNAcentral.